GGAAGGAUCAUUAAUAAAUGCUUCAUUGCAUCCACCUUUUGUGCACUGUAAAUUUUUCACUUGAAUUUUGUCUGAUUAAUCUUUGUUCUGAAUGGAACAUGAAUUAUAAUCUAAUACAACUUUUAACAAUGGAUCUCUUGGCUCUCGCAUCGAUGAAGAACGCAGCGAAAUGCGAUAAGUAAUGUGAAUUGCAGAAUUCAGUGAAUCAUCGAAUCUUUGAACGCAUAUUGCGCUCUCUGGCAUUCCAGAGAGCAUGCCUGUUUGAGUAUUGGUACAAUGGGUUAUCUUCCUUCGAAAUUCGAAGUAAAUUUUUUUAAACCCUAUUGAGACGUCUUGGCAAUCUUUUUUGACGAGUGUCUUAAAAUUCAAUAUGACAUAAGCGAGGAGCAACUGUGGGAGUAAUACGGUAGGGUGGGAGAAACUCCUCUUUGGAGUGACUUUUACUUUUACUUUUACUUCUGAAUUGGGUACUCUGAUGCUGAAACUAGGCUUGAAUGUCCUUGAAGUCGACAUUCAAUAAAGUUCGGAGCCGAACAAUAAACUCAAUCUCAAAUCAGGUAGGAUUACCCGCUGAACUUAAGCAUAUUAAUAAGCGGAGGAAAAGAAACUAACAAGGAUUCCCCUAGUAACGGCGAGUGAAGCGGGAAGAGCUCAAAUUUGGAAUCUGGGUAGGUCUCCUACUCCGAGUUGUAAUCUAUAGACGUGUUUUCGGCGGUUGUGUUGGUAUAAAUCCUUUGGAACAGGGUAUCAUAGAGGGUGAAAAUCCCGUCUUUGACUGACAUACAACUGCCAUGUGAUACAUGUUCGAAGAGUCGCAUUGUUUGGGAAUGCAGUGCAAAUUGGGUGGUAAAUUUCAUCCAAAGCUAAAUAAUGGCGAGAGACCGAUAGCGAACAAGUACCGUGAGGGAAAGAUGAAAAGAACUUUGAAAAGAGAGUUAAAUAGUACGUGAAAUUGUUAAAAGGGAAACGCAUGAAAUCAGUAAUCUUUACAGCAAAUCAGCCAGCCAUUGCGCGUUUUUCGUGCAAAGGAUGGUGCACUUUGCUGUGAGGGAGUCAACAUCAGUUUGGGCUGAUGGACAUACCUCCGUGGAAGGUAACCACUUUUGUGGUGUUUAGCCACGGAAGGAAUACAUCGGUCUGGACUGAGGUCUGCAGCACACUUUUUGCGGAACAAACUAGUGCUGUCGACUGCUUAACGGCCCUCAACUUGUUGAGUGUCGUAAAGUAAGCGGCAACCACUGGCCUCUGUUACUUUUGUGCUUGGGAUGUUGACAAAAUGGUUUUAUACGACCCGUCUUGAAACACGGACCAAGGAGUCUAACAUAUAUGCGAGUAUUUGGGUGUCAAACCCACAUGCGGAAUGAAAGUGACAAUGAUGGGACCUGCAAAGGGCACCAUCGACCGAUCUUGAUAUUUUUGGAUAGAUUUGAGUAAGAGCAUAUCUGUUGGGACCCGAAAGAUGGUGAACUAUACUUGAAUAGGGUGAAGCCAGAGGAAACUCUGGUGGAGGCUCGUAGCGAUUCUGACGUGCAAAUCGAUCGUCAAAUUUGAGUAUAGGGGCGAAAGACUAAUCGAACCAUCUAGUAGCUGGUUCCUGC
Molecule: unclassified non-coding RNA, 1598 nt
Filed under: uncultured fungus
Lineage: Eukaryota; Fungi
Description: sequence contains 18S rRNA gene, ITS1, 5.8S rRNA gene, ITS2, 28S rRNA gene
Rfam family: Eukaryotic large subunit ribosomal RNA (bases 544-1598)
Source: RNAcentral